GGAGAGGUGGCCGAGCUGGUCGAAGGCGCACGCCUGGAAAGCGUGUAGGUGCCAAAAGUGCCUCGAGGGUUCGAAUCCCUCCCUCUCCG
This 89-nucleotide transfer RNA is filed under the name Deltaproteobacteria bacterium. RNAcentral describes it as "tRNA-Ser". It matches the Rfam family "tRNA". From Rfam's summary of the family: Transfer RNA (tRNA) molecules are approximately 80 nucleotides in length. The record is from RNAcentral. Lineage: Bacteria; Pseudomonadati; Myxococcota; Myxococcia.